GACGAACGCUGGCGGCGUGCUUAACACAUGCAAGUCGAACGGUAAGGCCCUUUGGGGUACACGAGUGGCGAACGGGUGAGUAACACGUGGGUGAUCUGCCCUGCACUUCGGGAUAAGCCUGGGAAACUGGGUCUAAUACCGGAUAGGACCACUGCCUGCAUGGGUGGUGGUGGAAAGCUUUUGCGGUGUGGGAUGGGCCCGCGGCCUAUCAGCUUGUUGGUGGGGUGAUGGCCUACCAAGGCGACGACGGGUAGCCGGCCUGAGAGGGUGACCGGCCACACUGGGACUGAGAUACGGCCCAGACUCCUACGGGAGGCAGCAGUGGGGAAUAUUGCACAAUGGGCGCAAGCCUGAGGCAGCGACGCCGCGUGAGGGAUGACGGCCUUCGGGUUGUAAACCUCUUUCAGCACCGACGAAGCGCAAGUGACGGUAGGUGCAGAAGAAGGACCGGCCAACUACGUGCCAGCCGCCACGGUAA
RNAcentral lists this ribosomal RNA (478 nucleotides) under uncultured bacterium. RNAcentral's name for it is "partial 16S ribosomal RNA". It matches the Rfam family "Bacterial small subunit ribosomal RNA", at positions 28 to 523 of the family's 1533-position model. The record is from RNAcentral.